GAGAGCGUGGUGUAAUGGUUUCAGCACUGGACUAUGACUCUGGAGACCAAGGUUUGAAUCCUUGCUCAGCCA
Molecule: non-coding RNA, 72 nt
Organism: Phrynosoma platyrhinos (Desert horned lizard)
Lineage: Eukaryota; Metazoa; Chordata; Lepidosauria; Squamata; Phrynosomatidae
Source: the annotation of a GenBank genome assembly